CCUACGGGGUGCAGCAGUGGGGAAUAUUGCGCAAUGGGGGAAACCCUGACGCAGCAACGCCGCGUGAGUGAAGAAGUAUCUCUGUAUUUAAAGCUCUUUCAGCGGGGAAGAAGGAAGCCGGUACUCUACUAAGAAGCCCCGGCCAACUACGUGCCAGCAGCCGCGGUAAUACGUAGGGGGCGAGCGUUAUCCGGAUUUACUGGGUUUAAAGGGAGCGUAGACGGCGUGGCAAGUCUGAAGUGAAAGCCCGUGGCUCAACCGCGGAACCGCUUUGGAAACUGCGAGGCUGGAGUGCUGGAGAGGUAAGCGGAAUUCGUGGUGUAGCGGUGAAAUGCGUAGAUAUCAGGAGGAACACCGGUGGCGAAGGCGGCUUACUGGACAGUGACUGACGUUGAGGCUCGAAAGCGUGGGGAGCGAACAGGAUUAGAUACCCGUGUAGUC
RNAcentral lists this ribosomal RNA (441 nucleotides) under uncultured bacterium. Its description in RNAcentral is "partial 16S ribosomal RNA". It matches the Rfam family "Bacterial small subunit ribosomal RNA", at positions 338 to 795 of the family's 1533-position model. The record is from RNAcentral.